RNAcentral lists this ribosomal RNA (377 nucleotides) under uncultured bacterium. RNAcentral describes it as "bacterial SSU rRNA". It matches the Rfam family "Bacterial small subunit ribosomal RNA", at positions 521 to 896 of the family's 1533-position model. The record is from RNAcentral.
UAAUACAGAGGGUGCAAGCGUUAAUCGGAAUUACUGGGCGUAAAGGGUGCGUAGGUGGUCAGUUAAGUCAGGUGUGAAAACCCUAGGCUCAACCUAGGAAUGGCAUUUGAUACUGAUUGGCUAGAGUACGGGAGAGGAAAGUGGAAUUUCCGGUGUAGCGGUGAAAUGCGUAGAUAUCGGAAGGAACACCAGUGGCGAAGGCGACUUUCUAGUCCGUUACUGACACUGAGGCACGAAAGCGUGGGGAGCGAACAGGAUUAGAUACCCUGGUAGUCCACGCCGUAAACGAUGAAAACUAGAUGUUAGGGUGCAAAGACACUUUAGUAUCGUAGCUAACGCGUUAAGUUUUCCGCCUGGGGAGUACGGCCGCAAGGUUA